Molecule: ribosomal RNA, 344 nt
Filed under: uncultured bacterium
Lineage: Bacteria
Description: bacterial SSU rRNA
Rfam family: Bacterial small subunit ribosomal RNA
Source: RNAcentral
AGGGUUUGAUCAUGGCUCAGGAUGAACGCUGGCGGCGUGCUUAACACAUGCAAGUCGAACGAAGCGCUUGAGAAGAUUUCUUCGGAAUGAAACUUAAGUGACUGAGUGGCGGACGGGUGAGUAACGCGUGGGUAACCUGCCUCAUACAGGGGGAUAACAGUCAGAAAUGACUGCUAAUACCGCAUAAGCGCACAGUACCGCAUGGUACGGUGUGAAAAACUCCGGUGGUAUGGGAUGGACCCGCGUCUGAUUAGCUAGUUGGUGGGGUAACGGCCUACCAAGGCGACGAUCAGUAGCCGGCCUGAGAGGGCGACCGGCCACAUUGGGACUGAGACACGGCCCAA